CCUACGGGGGGCAGCAGUGAGGAAUAUUGGUCAAUGGGCGAGAGCCUGAACCAGCCAAGUCGCGUGAGGGAGUACUGCCCUAUGGGUUGUAAACCUCUUUUGUCGGGGAGCAAAAGCCGGACGUGUCCGGCUGUGAGAGUACCCUAAGAAAAAGCAUCGGCCAACUCCGUUCCAGCAGCCGCGGUAAUUCGGGGGAUGCGAGGGUUAUCCGGAUUUAUUGGGUUUAAAGGGUGCGCAGGGGGAUUUUUAAGUCAGUGGGCAAAUCGUGGGGCUAAACCCCAUCCAGCCGUUGAUACUGGGGAUCUAGAGUGUGCGAGAGGUAUGCGGAAUGCGUGGUGUAGCGGUGAAAUGCAUAGAUAUCACGCAGAACCCAGAUUGCGAAGGCAGCAGACCGGUGCACAACUGACGCUCAGGCACGAAAGCGUGGGUAUCGAACAGGAUUAGAUACCCGAGUAGUC
This 458-nucleotide ribosomal RNA is filed under the name uncultured bacterium. RNAcentral describes it as "partial 16S ribosomal RNA". It matches the Rfam family "Bacterial small subunit ribosomal RNA", at positions 338 to 795 of the family's 1533-position model. The record is from RNAcentral.